AUGCCAUUAAGUGUAUUAUUGGUUUAAUAUUACAGAAGAUUCUCUCUCUCUCUUUCACUCUCCCUAAUGUAUUACAGAGAAAGAGUCAGUGCGGAAGUGGAACUAAGGAAGAACGUAAAGAGAUGCAGCUGGAGCAGUAAACAGGGUCCAGAUCACAAAGGCCUCAUAAAACCAGCGUUGCAUGUGCCUGCUAUUUUCCAUCAGUGAGUAGGACAGAAAAGUUAGAAAGGAGAGGAAAACCAGUGACAGGCAAAGAAAUCAGCCCAGCAGCAAUAAUGUGGCCCACAUCAUCUUCAGUUAUUUUUGAGGAUCAUAUUUUUAAAAAGCCUCCAGAUUCUCCUCUUUUCAGUCCUGAAAGUUGUCAUCAAGUUAUUCCUGAAGUUUGCUUUGGUCAUGUCAUCUUCCUGCUAAAAGCUGAUACAGCUGUCUAUUUGAAGUGGCGAGGAUGCUUGAAUUUUGGUGGAAGGGAAUGCCACAGAACAUAAUUUGUUGCUUUCUGACCAAUAAAA
This 509-nucleotide long non-coding RNA is filed under the name Vulpes vulpes (red fox). RNAcentral describes it as "lncRNA (ENSVVUG00000008513.1)". The record is from RNAcentral. Lineage: Eukaryota; Metazoa; Chordata; Mammalia; Carnivora; Canidae.